This 341-nucleotide long non-coding RNA is filed under the name Pan troglodytes (chimpanzee). RNAcentral describes it as "long non-coding RNA NONPTRT005726". The record is from RNAcentral. Lineage: Eukaryota; Metazoa; Chordata; Mammalia; Primates; Hominidae.
UUUCAUGGUUCCCCGUCUCUGGCGUCCCUCCCUUGCUAUUCUGCCUGCCUUCACAGCCCUGCCACAUGGCUGGACAGGCCUCAGCCACAGCUCCUGCCUCACUGGCUGAUGCUGUGGGUUGAAGAAUACAGUCUCUGCAGACAGGCCUGGGCUCCCGUCCCACCUCAGCCACUUUGGCUCACUGCAACCUCCACCUCCCAGGUUCAAGCAAUUCUCCUGCCUCACCCUCCCAAAUAGCUGGGGUUACAGGCGCCCACCACCACACCUGACUAAUUUUUGUAUUUUUAGUAAAGACGGGGUUUCACCAUAUUGGCCAGGCUGGUUUCGAUUUCCUGACCUCA